RNAcentral lists this ribosomal RNA (301 nucleotides) under uncultured bacterium. Its description in RNAcentral is "partial 16S ribosomal RNA". It matches the Rfam family "Bacterial small subunit ribosomal RNA", at positions 509 to 807 of the family's 1533-position model. The record is from RNAcentral.
CAGUCGCCGCGGUAAUACGAAGGGGGCUAGCGUUGCUCGGAAUUACUGGGCGUAAAGGGAGCGUAGGCGGACAUUUAAGUCAGGGGUGGAAUCCCGGGGCUCAACCUCGGAAUUGCCUUUGAUACUGGGUGUCUUGAGUAUGAGAGAGGUAUGUGGAACUCCGAGUGUAGAGGUGAAAUUCGUAGAUAUUCGGAAGAACACCAGUGGCGAAGGCGACAUACUGGCUCAUUACUGACGCUGAGGCUCGAAAGCGUGGGGAGCAAACAGGAUUAGAUACCCCCGUAGUCCCUGUCUCUUAUAC